This 244-nucleotide long non-coding RNA is filed under the name Apteryx owenii (little spotted kiwi). Its description in RNAcentral is "lncRNA (ENSAOWG00000009625.1)". Lineage: Eukaryota; Metazoa; Chordata; Aves; Apterygiformes; Apterygidae. The record is from RNAcentral.
GCGGCGGGGGCGCCGCCGGGGCCCGUGGGCGGCGGAGGCGGCCAGCCCGGAGGCGGCCGCGGCCCUGGGAAGGGACGGGGAGGUGGCGCCAGGCGACCGUUACGGCGGCGCGUGCGGAGCCGAGGAGGUGUUAUCUACCUGGAAGCUUCUGGGCGAACUGGAGGAAGCUGUGCAGGCGCAGUUACUUGGUGCUGAAGCAGUAAUACAUCACUCUAAGAAUCGCUGCCUUUGGACACUACUCUGA